UACGUAGGGGGCAAGCGUUGUCCGGAGUUACUGGGCGUAAAGGAUGCGUAGAUGGUGUAGUAAGUUAUCGGUGGCAAAUCGAGGCUCAACCUCGUGGAAGUCGGUAAUACUGCUAUGCUAGAGGAUAGGAGAGGUUAACGGAACUCCCUGUGGAGCGGUGAAAUGCGUAGAUAUAGGGAAGAACACCAAUCAGGCGAAGGCAGUUAACUAUUCUAUUCCUGACAUUGAGGCAUGAAAGCGUGGGGAGCAAAACGG
RNAcentral lists this ribosomal RNA (255 nucleotides) under uncultured bacterium. RNAcentral describes it as "partial 16S ribosomal RNA". It matches the Rfam family "Bacterial small subunit ribosomal RNA", at positions 524 to 776 of the family's 1533-position model. The record is from RNAcentral.